AGAAAGGAUAAAAAGCUACGGUGAUGG
Molecule: small RNA, 27 nt
Filed under: Bombyx mori (domestic silkworm)
Lineage: Eukaryota; Metazoa; Arthropoda; Insecta; Lepidoptera; Bombycidae
Description: ovarian small RNA-11746
Source: RNAcentral